Molecule: transfer RNA, 84 nt
Filed under: Actinomycetes bacterium
Lineage: Bacteria; Bacillati; Actinomycetota; Actinomycetes
Also listed under: 1 other name
Description: tRNA-Leu
Rfam family: tRNA
About the family: Transfer RNA (tRNA) molecules are approximately 80 nucleotides in length. Their secondary structure includes four short double-helical elements and three loops (D, anti-codon, and T loops).
Source: RNAcentral
GUCGGAGUGGCGGAAUUGGCAGACGCGCUAGACUAAGGAUCUAGUGACCUUCGGGUUGUGGGGGUUCAAGUCCCCCCUCCGACA